AUUGCUAUAAAGCAAAAAUAAAGUUUUAUUAUGACAUUAAAAAUAUAUGCUGAAAAAAAAUUAUGUGGAUUUCAAUAAAGUUUUAUUAUGACAUUAAAAUAAAGUUCUUUUCUUUUCAUUUUCAUAUAGCUUUAAAUUUCAUUUUUCGGUAUAUUUUUUCACUUUUAGGUUUAGUGGUUGUAAAUUUGAGGCGGCGAAAGGUGUAACAUCGAUAUAUGGUGAUGCGGAGGUUCCUUUGCAUCAUGACCUAGCUUUGUGGAGGUAGAUGCAGGUCGUGAUCCCCAAAUUUUCUGUUAUCUCCCAAGUUUUCUUUUCGGUUUUUGGUUUCAGUAGCGAGGCGGCUGCAGCUUUCUCGUGAGGAGGUGACUGAUUGUUCUGAAGUUUUGUUGGAGAUUAGAUCCAUGAAUCUUACCUCUCUGCUAUUAGUUUCUUUGAGGACAUUGGCUUGAGCAUGGGGAACUCGGGUUUUCUGAUGGAGGUGGUGGAGGUAAAUUGGUUGUGGAACGUGGCUUCGGCCCCUCUACAUACCGGUUCUGCAUCGGCAAAGACUCUUCAAUUUGUAUGCUUUUGUUUGGUCUUCGUUUCAUUUUUUUUUUCAUCGAUAUGUUAUGUUUUUUUUAUUUAUUUUUUCGAUGGAAUUUACCCUUCUCUUCUUCAAUUUUCUUGUCUAGUUCUUUUUGAAAAUUACCUCUUCGUCCAGUUCGGGAUAAAUGGAGUUUUCGAAGAACAACAGUUUUAGUUGAUGUAGCUGCUGCAGUAGAGGUUUAACUUUGGGCUCGUUUUAUAUUUUGAACUGGUUUGUUCUAGUUUUAGCUCGUUUUUAUUUUCAGCUGUCAUUGUAUGUUUAAAUAACCAAGAAAUGAUAUGAAUAGCUUAAAAUAUAUGUAAUUCAAUAAAUUUGGAACACCGAAAAUUAUAAAGGAAACUUUGCAUC
RNAcentral lists this long non-coding RNA (934 nucleotides) under Brassica napus (rape). RNAcentral's name for it is "long non-coding RNA (BNAP_LNC003599)". Lineage: Eukaryota; Viridiplantae; Streptophyta; Magnoliopsida; Brassicales; Brassicaceae. The record is from RNAcentral.